UGCUUCCAAUCCAUCAGAACAUGAUGUGUUUCCCUUCUCAAAUGCCUCACGAGAUAUAUCACCCACAUUGUUACUUCCCAACGCAGGCGGUAACCCCUCAAGCUCUUGAAGGAGCUCAGUAACCACGUUUCGAUUUGUAUUAAAAUCAUAUCGCACCGUACCAUCACCAUUAAUGACCACAUCACUCACCCCUGCAUCCUCCUUAGGAACCUCU
This 214-nucleotide long non-coding RNA is filed under the name Brassica rapa (field mustard). Its description in RNAcentral is "long non-coding RNA (BRAP_LNC002583)". Lineage: Eukaryota; Viridiplantae; Streptophyta; Magnoliopsida; Brassicales; Brassicaceae. The record is from RNAcentral.